UAAUUUCCCUCUCACGUACACCCAUCCCAUCUCCCGCUCCCUCUCCCAUUCCAUUCACAUCAAGAUUCAUUUUCAAUUAUCUUUAUAUACAGAAGAUCGAUUCAGUAUAUAGUAAGUAAAGAUUUCAUCGGUUUGCACCCACACAGAAAUACAAAGUGUAAAAUACUGUUUCAGCAGUAGUUAUAGCAUUAUUUCACAUUGGACAACACAUUAAGGACAGAUCCCACAUGAGAAGUGAGGACACAGUGACUCCUGUUGUGGACUUAACAAUUUGACACUCUUGUUUAUGGCAUCAGUAAUCUCCCUAGGCUCUAGUCAUAAGUUGCCAAGGCUCUGGAAGCCUUUUGAGUUCGCUGACUUCAAUCUUAUUCCGACAGGGUCAUAGUCAAAGUGGAAGUUUUCUCCUCCCUUCAGUGAAAGGUAUGUCCUUCUUUGAUGGCCCGUUCUUUCUACUGGGAUCUCACUCGCGGAGAUCUUUCAUUUAGCUCCUCUUUUCUUUUCUUUUCUUUUCUUUUCUUUUCUUUUCUUUCUUUUUUUUUUUUGCCAGAGUGUCUUGGCUUUCCAUGCCUAAAAUACUCUCAUGGGCUCUUCAGCCAUAUCCAAAUGUCUUAAGGGCUGAUUCUGAGGCCAGAGUGCUGUUUAGGACAUCUGCCAUUCCAUGAGUCUGCUGUGUAUCCUGCUUCCCAUGGUGGAUCAUUCUCUCCCUUUUUUAUUCUAUCAGUUAGUAUUAGCAGGCACUAAUCUUGUUUGUGUGAUCCCUUUGACUCUUAGACCUAUCAGUGUGAUCAAUUGUGAAGUGAAAUUGAUCACUUGGACUAGUGAGAUGGCAGUGGUACAUGCCACCUUGUUGGGAUUGUAUUGGGAUCCCCUGGCACGUUUCUAACUCCACCAUUUGGGGUAAGUCCGAUUGAGCAUGUCCCGAAUUUUACAUCUCCUCCCUCUCUUAUUCCCACUCUUAUAUUUAACAGGGAUCACUUUUCAGUUAAAAUUUAAACACGUAAGAAUAAUUGUGUGUUAAUUACAGAGUUCAACCAAUAGUACUAGAACAAAACAAAAAAAUACUAAAAUGGAUAAAGUAUUACAUUGUACAUCAACAGUCAGGACAAGAGCUGAUCAAGUCACUGUUUCUGCUAGAUUUCCUUUCUUGAAAUAUGCCUGUGGAAGCCCCUUGCCCAUUUCUUGAGUGGGUGGUUUGUUUUGCUGUAGUUGAAUUUUUUGAAAGUUUCUUGUAGUUUAGUUUAUCCUUUAUCAGUUGCAUACUUUGCAUAUAAUUUCUCCCAUUCCGUUAGUUGCCUCUUUACUUGGCUGAGUGUUUUCUUUUGCAGGGCAGAAGCUUCUCCAUUUUUUUUGGUGUCCUCUUCUAUCUUUUUCUUUAAUCUUUUGUGAUUCCCAGAUGUUGAACAUCCUUGGUUAAAUUUAUUCCAAGCUUUUUAUUUUCUUUGUAGCUAUGUGAAUGGGAUUGGUCUUUGAAGUCCUUUCUCAGCCAUGACAUUGUCUGUGUAUAUAAAGACUUGAUUUUUUAUCCUGGCUCAUUACCUAACUCUACUCUGAAUUUCAGUAGUCUCUUAGAGGAGUCUUUUGGAUCUCCUAUAUAUAGAAUUAUGUCAUCUGCAAUUAGGGAUAGUUGGACUUCCUCCCUCCCAAUUUGUACCUACAAUGAGAAAUUAGAGAAGAAGUACCAACAUGAUCGUGUGCAUGUGAAUAGUGACCUCAGAUGCUACCUUUCUGUAUUCUCUCUUGCUUUGUGGGACAUGUGAUUUGGCCUUUUUCCAACAUGAUCCGUACUUUAAAUGCAGGGCUAGACUGUGCAGGGUGGUGUCUGGGAAGUAGACCUGUGUUCCAUGGAGAACUCUGUAGAUCACAGGUGUUUCAAGUCCUUGUGUGAGUGGGUACAUACGUGUCUGAAUAAAUAAAUUACAAAGAUUUCCUCAUGCGUAAGUCAGAGAUAAUGCCACACGGAAUGUUUGUAAGGAAGAAGAGAAUGAAUGGGUACUAGAAUCUUUUCUAAGACUGAUUUAAAUUCUUUUUCAAAUUCUGUGUUAAUUGGGUAUGCAAUACCUAUAGUAUCACUUGUAAAUAAACUCUAGUAGUUGGCCUGUAUUUUAUUUACAGCUAUGUCUUCCUUUUUUAAUUUUUACUUUUUCUUAAAUAUUUAUUUAUUUGAAAUUCAGACAUACACAGAGAGGAUGGGAGGCAGAGAGAGUGAGAGAGAGAAAGAGAGAGACAGACAGACAGACAGAUACAUAGGUUUUCCAUCUGCUGUUCCACUUCCUAUUUGGCUGCAAUGGCCAGAGCAGAGGAGAUCUAAAAGCAGGAGCCCAGAACCUCCUCGUGGUCUCCUUCAUGGGUACAAGGGCACAAGGAGUUGGACCAUCUUCUACUGCCUUCCCAAACCACAGCAGAGAGCCACAUCAGAAGUGCAGCAUCCAGGACUCGAACUGGUGCCUAGAUGGGAUGCGCGAUGUGGGUGGUGGCUAUAGCCACUACCCCACAAUGCCAGGUCCUCCAGAAGCCAUUGCCCAUGGAAUGCUGCUGUCUGCUAACAUUCCUGGGAAAGCAGAGGGAGAAGGCCCAAGGUCUUAGGACCCUGAACCCAGAAUUGAGCACCGGAUAAAGUCCCUGGCUUCUGCUUUGGCCUGGCUGAGCCUUGGCCUUUGUAGUCACCUGGGGGGUGAACCCCCAGAUGGAUGAUCACUCAGAGUGAGAAAGAGUGCUCACGAUGCUGCUUGCACUGCUGCUCUUCCCAAGCAGCAGCAAGGGCCAGCGCUGGUCCAGGCAGAAACCAGGAGGCAGGAGCUCCAUUCAGGACUCCCACUAGACAGGGUGACUGGGUCCAGAGUGCCUGGGCCGUAAGUGGCUGCCGCCCUGGGUCACAGCCUGAUGAGGCAGGAAUGGAAGUGGUCCUGGGGCAUCAGGGCAUAGCUGCAUCCCUUGGUGCCCUGUCGGUCACCGGUGAGGAGUGUGCCUGAGCCCAGCACUGUGACCCAGAAGUGCACCCGCAGGUGCAUCUGUUUCUUCUGCACGGUGCUCUGGUGGGAGUCAGCGUCGUGUCUGCCCCAGCUCAGAGCUUAUGCAAGCCCUGAGUUGCUGAUUUCGAUGCUGGUGGCUGAGCCUGAGGAGAUACAGUGCCUCUCCCCCCCACCCCCCCAGGGUCAAGCCAGGAUUAGGUGAAACUGUGGUGAGGUAGCCACUCAGUUAUCUUGUGCUUCUGGAACUUUCUAGGCACAGUCCUCUUCUUUGGCCCCUCUGAAAGACUACACCUCAGGUCUGGAUUCCUGUGUCAGAGGAACAGAAAUGCUCUUUCUGUGUAGAGUUUGGCAUGGUGGCCUUCCUGUCACUGGGCUGCACACACGAAGGAGAAAGCAGAAGCUUAGAGAAAUGCCAAGAAUCCCUCUGUGCUGUGUUCCAGGCUGUCCCAAGAUUCUGACACCUCAUAUUCUUCAUUGGAACAUGUGCUAAGCCCUGGCCCUAAGAACAAGGAGGUGAGCAGCCAAGAGCAAUACCUGCAGGGAGGGCCAGGAUGCUGGUGUCGGAGGAGUGGCAAUGGAUUCAACAGGACCCUCACGUUUGUCCAUCCUUGCCUGGCUCCACAGCGGCCUCGAGGUCUUGCAGCAGGAUGUCAUAGAAACUGCUUCAUACUUCUGCUGUGAGAAUACGACACUCAGGAGGAGGGAGCGUGUGGAGCUCUUUGGAAUCACAGUGCUCUGCCUGAGGAACGGGGUGUCUGUCCCUGGCGGUGGAGCCAUGAAAUCAAGGCUGCUUUGCACCAAGUGCCGGGAGAGCCGUCUUCUCAUCCCCAUCAGACACAGACGUUUCUGUUGAGGAGAAGCAUCUGCUCUUCAUGUCAGUUCCGCACCUGGACCAGGCCUCAGCCCUGUUUUCUUCAGGACCUCUCAGGUUGAUGGGUGAGGAGACCCGUGGGAGGAGGACUUAGAAGUCCGGAGGCUGAGUGCCUUCUAGUUGUGCACAGAAACACACUGUGCGUGUCUUCCUUAAUUGCAGAGUGUUCCUGAUGUCAUGGGCACGUAGGAACCAGAGAGGAACCUCUGCCCUGGACCUCUCUCUGCUGGAUCUCAGCUGCCUCAUGUUUCCUGGUGCUGUUUUUUUUUUUUUUUCUUUAAGAGUUUAUUCAAGUCAGAGGUAUCUGCAUUUAUAGCUUCUUCCUGAUAAUUCUUUCCUCUCCUGAUGGAGUUUCAUUUCUCCUGUGUUUCAGGAGAUGCCUGGGGUGGGGUGGUGUCCCCCAUUGGAUUCUAGUCUGAGGGAGUCUUCCAUGAUGGAAGUAGAUCUGUGUGUGAAAUGGAUACAUGAGUGAGUGUUGAGGGAGACGUUGGUUAACAGAUGGACAUUGCAGCCAUCCGGCACAGUGGGAUGCCUGCAUCCCACACUGGAGUUUCUGGUUUGAGUUCAGGCUCCUCUUCUUCUGACCCAGCUUCCUGUGAAUGCGCUCCAUGGGUCCCUGCCACUCAUGCGGAGACCGGGUUUGAGCUUUGGGCUUCUAGCUUUGGCCGAGCACCGCCUUGGCUGAGUCACACCCGGAGCAGAAGAAGCUGACUGAAGCGGGCCUGGGGCAUCAGAAGGACGCUGGAUGCGGCAGGGUGCAGAUGUGUCCCGUGGCGCCAUGGCGACGGCCAGUGGGGACUGCGCCUGCGUCCUGCACUUUGACCCGGAAGUGCACACGCACGCAUGCAUACCCCGACUGCCCCGCCAGCGUUCUUGUGGGAGUCAGCACCGCGUCCGCUGCUGCCCAAGAGCCUGCACAAGCUGUGAGGAGCCGUGCUCGACGCUGCUGGCCAAGACUGAGGGAGACCCAGCGGCCCCAAGGUCAGGCCAGGAUCAGGAGAGGCUGCAUGACUGAGGCUGCAGCACUAUUUCCCAGGCGCGGUUGUCUUCUUCAGCCCCUUCCGGAAGCAACGGCCUUGGCAGACCUCUAUCCCGCCAGCAGACCGGGCCCCCUUGGAGGUGGGCAAGUGGGAGAACCAGACCCUGAGCCCAAGGCCCACGGUGUGGCCCUGGUACAAGUCCUUCUCUGACUGUGAGCUGGAUCACAACCACCUGAGCAUCGUCACCCUGGAGGAGGCCCCCUUCGUCAUCGUGGAAGACAUCAACCCGCUGACUGAGGCCUGUGUGCGGAACACGGUGCCGUGUCGGAAGUUCAUCAAAAUCAACUUCUUGGUGUCCAGCAUUGCAGCAUUCUUCCUCGGAUGCUGUGUAGAGCCCCGGUGCUGGACUUGGAACAAGGAGGUGAGCUCCAUGAUGAGCAACACCUGCAGGAAGGCUGGGCCGCUGGUGUCUGAGGAGUGGUAGUGGAUUCACUGGGCCUCUGACUCAGGUUCAUCCAUCCUCGCCUGAAUGUGGUGAAUUAAGUCUGUGUUCCUACUGGUCAGCAGUAACUAGUGUUGUCCUUGAAGAGUCAUUCCUCCAGCUUCAUUUCGCUUGGGAUUGCUAUUGUGGUGACUCCUCCCCAUCCUCCAGGUCUCAGCUCAAGGGCUGGCUCUGAGGAGGCCACCUGUGACCCCACUCCAGGCACAUCGCUGUGGCUGCUGGAGAGGAGGUGUCCACUGGCCUGAGCUGGGCGUGAGGUUCCCCCGUAGCACUUGACCCCCAGGCCCCAUGGCAACUGCAGAGACUCCCACUCCUGGGGUACACAGUGUGGGUGAACAUGAGCGGUGAGUGCGUGCUGGGCACGGGGAGGGUCCUGGAGCACCUGGGCAGGUGUGGCUCUGUCAGGCCCAAGCCUCACCUUUCAGGGUUGCCCGGUUUUCUGCUUGGGCACCAACGCCACUGGGCCAUCUGGAGUUGGGACUCUGAAGGCAGGAAUGUGGCAACUCUUGCCAGUUCCUGCAGUUCCUUCUCUGAGCAAAAAGUAGCAGAGAUACGGGCUGAGUGCCCCAUGUGUCGGUGCAGCACGCGGGCAGGUGCAAUAGGCACCUGGGCUGUGCUGGCUGGCACAGGUGCUUCUCUGCCGCACUUGAUCUUGUGGUGGUUAUGGUGAUUAGGAAAGUGGGUUCUUUACAGACCCCAGGGAGGUGACAUUUCUCAUGAUGGCAUGCCCCUGCGGGAAGAGUUGGAACCAUGCACAGGAGAAAAUAGUGACUGCUAACUAACCAGCCAGGGGGUCACGGCUGUGCUGGGUGAGUGAGGAGUCCUGGGCCAACCCACACAGCACCUGAAGGCAGAAGUGCUUUGUUCAUCACCAUGUUACUUCACUGCUUUCUCUCACUGAGUUACAGCCACUGUUAUCUCUGAUUUGUCAUUUGUCUUUGUGAACCCUCCCACCUCUCCAUGAUAUGGUCGUCUUGGAAUUCGUUUUGGAAAUGAAGGGCAGGUCUACCUCUCUGGUUCCCCCUUGGUGAAUGCCACAGGCAGUCACUUUUUCACAGUGGGGCUUUUGCUCCAUACACGUUAUUCUCAUUUUCACAUGCAGAAGUUGGGGCUCAGAGAGGCUGAGUGACUUGCCCCUGGUGACACAGCAUGAUGCUGCCUGUGUUGCAUAAUCAGGGAGUGAGUCCUUGUGAGCAGAGAAGUGAGGCUGAUGGGGCAGAAUGAGUCCCAAGGCACCAGCAGGAGUGUCCUCAUGGGACCUCUCUGAAUCUGACCUUAUGCAGCUUCCUCUUCUGCCCCAUCCAUGCUGGCCUCUCAGUUCCGUGACGGUGCCAAGUUCUCUUCCACCUCGGGACACUUACAUUGCUUUUCUUUCUUGAUUGUUUCUGUCCUUGAACUUCUGACAUGAAACUGAGGAACACACCACAUUUCCCGGUGGUUGAGAGUUUGUUAGCUGGGGGAGUUGUUCGUGGAAGGAUGAGUUUCCAAGCCUCAUGUUCCUCUUCUGUUAAAAUGGAAUCCUCUCUGAAGAUGAUCUAUUUUAUCAUCUUAAAAAGGUAAGUUUUGGUUUGCUGAUCUAG
Oryctolagus cuniculus (rabbit) is the source of this 6902-nucleotide non-coding RNA. The record is from RefSeq and is a predicted model, not a curated record. Lineage: Eukaryota; Metazoa; Chordata; Mammalia; Lagomorpha; Leporidae.